UACGAAGGGGGCUAGCGUUGCUCGAAGAUUACUGGGCGUAAAGCGCACGUAGGCGGAUUGUUAAGUCGGGGGUGAAAUCCUGGAGCUCAACUCCAGAACUGCCCUUGAUACUGGCGGUCUCGAGUCCGGGAGAGGUGAGUGGAACUGCGAGUGUAGAGGUGAAAUUCGUAGAUAUUCGCAAGAACACCAGUGGCGAAGGCGGCUCACUGGCCCGGUACUGACGCUGAGGUGCGAAAGCGUGGGGAGCAAACAGG
This 254-nucleotide ribosomal RNA is filed under the name uncultured bacterium. RNAcentral's name for it is "partial 16S ribosomal RNA". It matches the Rfam family "Bacterial small subunit ribosomal RNA", at positions 524 to 776 of the family's 1533-position model. The record is from RNAcentral.